Molecule: ribosomal RNA, 460 nt
Filed under: uncultured bacterium
Lineage: Bacteria
Description: partial 16S ribosomal RNA
Rfam family: Bacterial small subunit ribosomal RNA
Source: RNAcentral
CCUACGGGCGGCAGCAGUGAGGAAUAUUGGUCAAUGGGCGCGAGCCUGAACCAGCCAAGUCGCGUGAAGGAUGACUGCCCUACGGGUUGUAAACUUCUUUUAUACAGGAAUAAAGUGAGGCACGUGUGCCUUUUUGUAUGUACUUUAUGAAUAAGGAUCGGCUAACUCCGUGCCAGCAGCCGCGGUAAUACGGAGGAUCCGAGCGUUAUCCGGAUUUAUUGGGUUUAAAGGGAGCGUAGAGGGUUUGUUAAGUUAGUGGUGAAAGUUUGCGGCUCAACCGUAAAAUUGCAAUUGAUACUGGUAGGCUAGAGUACAGUUGAGGUAGGCGGAAGGUGUGGUGUAGCGGUGAAAUGCUUAGAGAUCACACAGAACACCGAUUGCGAAGGCAGCUCACGAAGCCGCGAUUGACGCUGAGGCACGAAAGCGUGGGGAGCAAACAGGAUUAGAUACCCGAGUAGUC